This is a long non-coding RNA of Chrysoperla carnea, 74 nucleotides long. RefSeq lists it as uncharacterized. The transcript has 3 exons. The record is from RefSeq and is a predicted model, not a curated record. Lineage: Eukaryota; Metazoa; Arthropoda; Insecta; Neuroptera; Chrysopidae.
UUUAGGGUAUGGAAUCCUAAACUUGCGCUUGAAAUACAAACUAAGAACAUUCUCCAUUAAAUUAACUUUCAAAC